GACGAAGGAUGCAAGCGUUAUCCGGAUUCAUUGGGUUUAAAGGGUGCGUAGGCGGACCUGUAAGUCAGUGGUGAAAUCUCUCAGCUUAACUGAGAAACUGCCAUUGAUACUGCAGGUCUAGAGUAUAGAUGACGUUGGCGGAAUAUGACAUGUAGUGGUGAAAUACUUAGAUAUGUCAUAGAACACCGAUUGCGAAGGCAGCUAACGAAACUAUAACUGACGCUGAGGCACGAAAAGUGCGGGGAUCAAACAGG
This 254-nucleotide ribosomal RNA is filed under the name uncultured bacterium. RNAcentral's name for it is "partial 16S ribosomal RNA". It matches the Rfam family "Bacterial small subunit ribosomal RNA", at positions 524 to 776 of the family's 1533-position model. The record is from RNAcentral.